This 892-nucleotide ribosomal RNA is filed under the name uncultured bacterium. RNAcentral's name for it is "bacterial SSU rRNA". It matches the Rfam family "Bacterial small subunit ribosomal RNA", at positions 505 to 1397 of the family's 1533-position model. The record is from RNAcentral.
GUGCCAGCCGCCGCGGUAAUACGUAGGUGGCAAGCGUUGUCCGGAUUUAUUGGGCGUAAAGCGAGCGCAGGCGGUUUUUUAAGUCUGAUGUGAAAGCCUUCGGCUCAACCGAAGAAGUGCAUCGGAAACUGGGAAACUUGAGUGCAGAAGAGGACAGUGGAACUCCAUGUGUAGCGGUGAAAUGCGUAGAUAUAUGGAAGAACACCAGUGGCGAAGGCGGCUGUCUGGUCUGUAACUGACGCUGAGGCUCGAAAGUAUGGGUAGCAAACAGGAUUAGAUACCCUGGUAGUCCAUACCGUAAACGAUGAAUGCUAAGUGUUGGAGGGUUUCCGCCCUUCAGUGCUGCAGCUAACGCAUUAAGCAUUCCGCCUGGGGAGUACGGCCGCAAGGCUGAAACUCAAAGGAAUUGACGGGGGCCCGCACAAGCGGUGGAGCAUGUGGUUUAAUUCGAAGCUACGCGAAGAACCUUACCAGGUCUUGACAUACUAUGCAAAUCUAAGAGAUUAGACGUUCCCUUCGGGGACAUGGAUACAGGUGGUGCAUGGUUGUCGUCAGCUCGUGUCGUGAGAUGUUGGGUUAAGUCCCGCAACGAGCGCAACCCUUAUUAUCAGUUGCCAGCAUUAAGUUGGGCACUCUGGUGAGACUGCCGGUGACAAACCGGAGGAAGGUGGGGAUGACGUCAAAUCAUCAUGCCCCUUAUGACCUGGGCUACACACGUGCUACAAUGGAUGGUACAACGAGUUGCGAACUCGCGAGAGUAAGCUAAUCUCUUAAAGCCAUUCUCAGUUCGGAUUGUAGGCUGCAACUCGCCUACAUGAAGUCGGAAUCGCUAGUAAUCGCGGAUCAGCAUGCCGCGGUGAAUACGUUCCCGGGCCUUGCACACACCGCCCGU